CCUACGGGAGGCAGCAGUGGGGAAUAUUGCACAAUGGGGGCAACUCUGAUGCAGCGAUGCCGCGUGCGUGAAGACGUCUCUCUGUAUGGAAAGCUCCAUUAGUAGGGGAGAAAAUCACGGUACCUGAUUAAGAAUCCCCGGCUCAUUCCGUGCCAGCAGCCGCGGUACCACGCAGGAGGCAAGCGUUAUCCGGAUUUAUCGGGUGUAAAGGGAGCGUAGACGGGAGCACAAGUCCGUGGUGAAAUGCCGGGGCUUAACCCCGGAACUGCUUUGGAUACUGUGGGGCUAGAGUGCAGGCGAGGUAGGUGGAAUUCCUGGUGUAGCGGUGAAAUGCAUAGAUAUUAGAAAGAACACCGAUGGCGAAGGCAGCUUACUAAACUGUGACUGACGUUGAGGCACGAAAGCGUGGGGAGCAAACAGGAUUAGAUACCCGGGUAGUC
This 440-nucleotide ribosomal RNA is filed under the name uncultured bacterium. RNAcentral's name for it is "partial 16S ribosomal RNA". It matches the Rfam family "Bacterial small subunit ribosomal RNA", at positions 338 to 795 of the family's 1533-position model. The record is from RNAcentral.